GAUGAACGCUGGCGGCGUGCCUGAUACAUGCAAGUCGAGCGAACAGACGAGGAGCUUGCUCCUCUGACGUUAGCGGCGGACGGGUGAGUAACACGUGGAUAACCUACCUAUAAGACUGGGAUAACUUCGGGAAACCGGAGCUAAUACCGGAUAAUAUAUUGAACCGCAUGGUUCAAUAGUGAAAUACGGUUUUGCUGUCACUUAUAGAUGGAUCCGCGCCGCAUUAGCUAGUUGGUAAGGUAACGGCUUACCAAGGCGACGAUGCGUAGCCGACCUGAGAGGGUGAUCGGCCACACUGGAACUGAGACACGGUCAAGACUACUACGGGAGGCAGCAGUAGGGUAUGUUCCGCAGUGGGCGAAAGCUUGACGGAGCAACGCCGCGUGAGUGAUGAAGGUCUUCGGAGCGUAAAACUCUGUUAUUAGGGAAGAACAAAUGUGUAAGUAACUAUGCACGUCUUGACGGUACCUAAUCAGAAAGCCACGGCUAACUACGUG
Molecule: ribosomal RNA, 497 nt
Filed under: uncultured bacterium
Lineage: Bacteria
Description: partial 16S ribosomal RNA
Rfam family: Bacterial small subunit ribosomal RNA
Source: RNAcentral